AGACAGAGUCCAGGCUGGAGUGCAUGGCACGAUCUUGGCCCACUGCAAUCUGUUUCCUGGGUUCAAGCGAUUCUUGUGCCUCAGCCUUCCAAGUAGCUGAGGUAGGAGAAUUGCUUGAACCCAGGAGGCAGAGGUUGCAGUGAGCUGAGAUUCUGCCACUGCACCAUAGCCUGGGUGACAGAGCAAGACUCCUUCUCGAACAAAAAAAAAAAAAAAAAAAAAAAAGAAGAAGAAAACUGUAUUUUCUUUGCCUAAGCCUAGUUAGAAAGAAACUACUGUCCCAUCACAAGGGACUAAAUAAACUGUAACUCUUUUGAUUGUUAUCUAUUUUAUCUACAGAUGCUACAAUAGAAAACGUUUCAGUUGUUAGG
RNAcentral lists this non-coding RNA (371 nucleotides) under Pan troglodytes (chimpanzee). The record is from RNAcentral. Lineage: Eukaryota; Metazoa; Chordata; Mammalia; Primates; Hominidae.